AUUGAACGCUGGCGGCAUGAUUUACACAUGCAAGUCGAACGGUAACAGGCCGCAAGGUGCUGACGAGUGGCGAACGGGGGAGUAAUGCAUCGGAACGUGCCCAGUCGUGGGGGAUAACUACUCGAAAGAGUAGCUAAUACCGCAUACGAUCUAUGGAUGAAAGCGGGGGACCGUAAGGCCUCGCUUGGUUGGAGCGGCCGAUGUCAGAUUAGGUAGUUGGUGGGGUAAAGGCUCACCAAGCCAACGACCUGUAGCUGGUCUGAGAGGGCGACCAGCCACACUAGGACUGAGACACGGCCCAGACUCCUGCGGGAGGCAGCAGUGGGGAAUUUUGGACAAUGGGCGCAAGCCUGAUCCAGCAAUGCCGCGUGCAGGAAGAAGGCCUUCGGGUUGUAAACUGCUUUUGUACGGAACGAAACGGCUCUGGUUAAUACCCGGGGCUAAUGACGGUACCGUAAGAAUAAGCACCGGCUAACUACGUG
Molecule: ribosomal RNA, 482 nt
Filed under: uncultured bacterium
Lineage: Bacteria
Description: partial 16S ribosomal RNA
Rfam family: Bacterial small subunit ribosomal RNA
Source: RNAcentral